GACGAACGCUGGCGGCGUGCUUAACACAUGCAAGUCGAACGGAAAGGCCCUGCUUUUGUGGGGUGCUCGAGUGGCGAACGGGUGAGUAACACGUGAGUAACCUGCCCUUGACUUUGGGAUAACUUCAGGAAACUGGGGCUAAUACCGGAUAGGAGCUCCUGCUGCAUGGUGGGGGUUGUAAAGUUUCGGCGGUUGGGGAUGUACUCGCGGGUUAUCAGCUUGUUGGUGGGGUAGUGGCUUACCAAGGCUUUGACGGGUAGCCGGCCUGAGAGGGUGACCGGCCACAUUGGGACUGAGAUACGGACCAGACUCCAACGGGAGGCAGCAGUGGGGAAUAUUGCACAAUGGGCGGAAGCAUGAUGCAGCAACGCCGCGUGCGGGAUGACGGCCUUCGGGUUGUAAACCGCUUUCGCAUGUGACGAAGCGUGAGUGACGGUAAUGGGUAAAGAAGCACCGGCUAACUACGUG
This 468-nucleotide ribosomal RNA is filed under the name uncultured bacterium. RNAcentral describes it as "partial 16S ribosomal RNA". It matches the Rfam family "Bacterial small subunit ribosomal RNA", at positions 28 to 507 of the family's 1533-position model. The record is from RNAcentral.